CUUUAGAUUUUGCUUAUUAAAGGUUCCACUAGUGCAUUACCAACAGUACUUUUCACUUUGUUUCAUGUCCCAACUUUCACUUUGAAGAAAUCAUAUGGUAACUAUAUUGUUUAAUUUAGUAAAUUCAUGUAGGCAUUUAUGGCCAUGACUCUGUGUCUGGAUUUUGGAGAGUACCGCUGCCGACUUCCAUCUGUCUGCUGAAACACAAACACAACACGUGUUAUAGUUCUUUUGUUCAAGCGUAGUGAUAUUACUUGUGUACAGGGACUCAAGAACAUAUUAAGGAUGUAUGUUAAGAAGGUCAAUUGCUCAGAAUGGAACAAGUUUCACUUCCAUCAAGUGUCAGGUCAAUAGUUGCUUUAAAUCUUAAUAACUAUGCGAGUGGAAGAAAUCCAUGGGGUAAUCUGAAGCCAGAGUAUCUGGAGAAGAGAGGCUUUGUUGGGGCUCAUGUGAAUGAUGGUCUUCUAGAAAUUUUUAGCCUAAAACAAGGAUGGCAA
Molecule: non-coding RNA, 497 nt
Organism: Camellia sinensis
Lineage: Eukaryota; Viridiplantae; Streptophyta; Magnoliopsida; Ericales; Theaceae
Source: RefSeq, a predicted model, not a curated record